This 1325-nucleotide ribosomal RNA is filed under the name metagenome. Its description in RNAcentral is "bacterial LSU rRNA". It matches the Rfam family "Bacterial large subunit ribosomal RNA", at positions 1561 to 2925 of the family's 2925-position model. The record is from RNAcentral.
AGUGGAUGGGGAGCAACCUAGUUGUGCGUGUGUAAAGGUAGUGCCAAGAAAAGCGGUGAUCAUGAUGAAAAUCAAUUCCCGGUACCCGAAACCGACACAGGUGGGCAAGUAGAGAAUACUAAGGGGCGCGAGGUAACUCUCUCCAAGGAACUCGGCAAAAUGACCCCGUAACUUAGGGAGAAGGGGUGCCACCGAGAGGUGGUCGCAGUGAAGAGGCCCAGGCGACUGUUUAGCAAAAACAUAGGUCUCUGCAAACUCGAAAGAGGAGGUAUAGGGGCUGACGCCUGCCCAGUGCCGGAAGGUUAAAGAAGUUGGUCAGUCUUAGGAUAAAGCUAGCGACUGAAGCCCCGGUGAACGGCGGCCGUAACUAUAACGGUCCUAAGGUAGCGAAAUUCCUUGUCGGGUAAGUUCCGACCCGCACGAAAGGCGUAACGAUCUGGGCGCUGUCUCGGAGAGAGGCUCGGCGAAAUAGGAUUGUCUGUGAAGAUACGGACUACCUGCAUUUGGACAGAAAGACCCUAUGAAGCUUUACUAUAGCUUGGAAUUGUGUUCUGGCUUCCUGUGCGCAGGAUAGGUGGGAGGCGAAGAAGGUAUUCUUGUGGGGAUACUGGAGCCAACGGUGAGAUACCACUCUCAGGAGGCUAGAAUUCUAACUUAAUUAAGGACAGUUUCAGGUGGGUAGUUUGACUGGGGCGGUCGCCUCCAAAAAGGUAACGGAGGCGUACAAAGGUUCCCUCAGACUGGUUGGAAAUCAGUCGCAGAGUGCAAAGGCAGAAGGGAGCUUGACUGCGAGAAGUACAGUUCGAGCAGGGUGGAAACACGGUCUUAGUGAUCCGACGGUGCUGUGUGGAAGGGCCGUCGCUCAACGGAUAAAAGUUACUCUAGGAUAACAGGCUGAUCUCCCCCAAGAGUUCACAUCGACGGGGAGGUUUGGCACCUCGAUGUCGGCUCAUCGCAACCUGGGGCGGAAGUACGUCCCAAGGGUUGGGCUGUUCGCCCAUUAAAGCGGUACGUGAGCUGGGUUCAGAACGUCGUGAGACAGUUCGGUCCAUAUCCGAUGUAGGCGUGAGAAUAUUGAGAGGAGCCUUCCUUAGUACGAGAGGACCGGGAAGGACGCACCGCUGGUGUACCUGUUAUGAUGCCAAUUGUAAACGCAGGGUAGCCAAGUGCGGAGAGGAUAACCGCUGAAAGCAUCUAAGUGGGAAGCCCACCUCAAGAUGAGUAUUCUGGUGUAAGGUCACGGGAAGACGACCCGUAAAUAGGCACGAGGUGGAAGUGCAGAGAUGUAUGAAGCCGAAGUGUACUAAUAGACCGUCGGCUUGACC